Molecule: long non-coding RNA, 249 nt
Organism: Lolium perenne
Lineage: Eukaryota; Viridiplantae; Streptophyta; Magnoliopsida; Poales; Poaceae
Source: RefSeq, a predicted model, not a curated record
UGCCAAUCCAAAUCGAGUGAUUCAAAGUUCUGCAGAUAGGUAUUGAAAAUAUCUACAACUUGGCGUUGGUCUCAUCCUCAAAUUCGUUACGGAUUUUGCAUGAUCAAGAUCUGGUCAGAUCUGACUUUGUCGAAUUAAACCAGGAGCUUGGAAACGAAUUUUUGAAUGAAACCAACUGGGGGAUAAUUGGUUUAUACCAUGGUGAUAACCGAGAGAGGCAAUUGCUAAGUUGUGAUGCACUCAUGCCUU